This 197-nucleotide non-coding RNA is filed under the name Clostridiales bacterium. RNAcentral describes it as "6S RNA". It matches the Rfam family "6S / SsrS RNA". Rfam says of the family: E. coli 6S RNA was the first non coding RNA to be sequenced, but its function was unknown until recently. It consists of 184 nucleotides that fold into an extended hairpin structure with a large single-stranded internal bulge. The record is from RNAcentral. Lineage: Bacteria; Bacillati; Bacillota; Clostridia; Eubacteriales.
UAUGCCCUGCUUUGUUCGUGAUAGGCCCAUUAAACCCACAUCACUUAUAAGGGAUGCCAUAUUUCUCCGUGGAUUGCAGGCCUCCCGGGGCACUCUGGAGGUGCCUUGGACGUUGGAAGCAGAGAAGCGGGGAAGAGGCGACCCACCUGCAUAUAUGUGCAGGUUAUAAUCGGGCUUACACGGCACGGCGGGGGUCU